CCGGCAUCGUACAAGCGACACCGGUGUGGACGGAUUACCUGCAAGUUGUGAUAGAAGAUGUGGAACCGGUCGCUGAACCAAGACCGUCAGACCAAAAUCCCCCUAAAGUAAAAGUCAGCGAGUCACAAGUGAAAAUGACAGAGGGAGAGAGCAAAACCAUCGACUGUAAUCCUGAGGGAUAUCCGCUGCCGAUCGUUCAGUGGACGAAGGAGGAAGGUCAAUUCACCAGCGGCACAAGACAAGAGGGCAAUGCGCUGGUCAUAUCUGCGGCCAAGGAAGAUGAUACGGGGUAUUAUAUAUGCAGUGCCGUCGUAGAUGGAACUGCUCACUACACUGAUUACC
Molecule: long non-coding RNA, 342 nt
Organism: Cydia strobilella
Lineage: Eukaryota; Metazoa; Arthropoda; Insecta; Lepidoptera; Tortricidae
Exons: 3
Source: RefSeq, a predicted model, not a curated record